GAUGAACGCUGGCGGCAUGCCUAACACAUGCAAGUCGAUCGGUAAGGCUCUUCGGAGUACACGAGAGGCGGACGGCUGAGUAACGCGUAGGAACACACCCUGCAGUGAGGGAUAAGACACCGAAAGGUGUUCUAAUACCGCAUACGGUCUUCGGAUUAAAGCAUUUAUGCGCUGAAGGAGUGGCCUGCGUCAUAUUAGAUAGUUGGUGAGGUAAUGGCUCACCAAGUCGAUGAUGUGUAGCUGGUCUGAGAGGAUGAUCAGCCAGACUGGAACUGAGACACGGUCCAGACUCCUACGGGAAGCAGCAGUGAGGAAUAUUUCACAAUGAGCGAAAGCUUGAUGGAGCAAUGCCGCGUGCAGGAUGAAGGCCCUCGGGUUGUAAACUGCUUUUAUAAGAGAAGAUUAUGACGGUAACUUAUGAAUAAGGGACGGCUAACUACGUG
This 443-nucleotide ribosomal RNA is filed under the name uncultured bacterium. RNAcentral's name for it is "partial 16S ribosomal RNA". It matches the Rfam family "Bacterial small subunit ribosomal RNA", at positions 28 to 507 of the family's 1533-position model. The record is from RNAcentral.